This is a long non-coding RNA of Equus asinus (donkey), 1514 nucleotides long. Lineage: Eukaryota; Metazoa; Chordata; Mammalia; Perissodactyla; Equidae. The record is from Ensembl.
UAUAAAAUAAAUAAAAGCCACAAAGCCACGUUUAUUGACUCGCCAGGCGAGGAAACACGCACAAGUGAAGAAAUUCACUGAAUAGUCAGCCGAGGAGGGAGAGUCGGGGAUGUUUAAUCUUGGAGAGGGGCUCACAAUGAUUAAGGCUCGAAAACCAGCACUCCAGAAAUUAAUCUAAAGGUCUGUACCUGGUUGGUUCAAACAAAUCCAUCGUUCAUUGUUGAGGAAAGAGUCUUUAGUUGAGUCCAGUGGGGGUUUGGCGUUUGGGUCCACUUCAGCUGCUUAGAAUCAGUUAUGAUGAAACACAAUAUUUAAUUGUGAUAUCUCCUAGGGCAUGUGUUGCUAUAAGUGGAAAUUUUUCCUGUUUCAAUUCCCGCCUGCUCCUCCUCAAUGGAAGCUCCGUAUAUGACACGUAUGAGCAUAAGGUAAUUUGUCUCCCCUUAUGGUUCUUAGCUAAGUGAUUUAGAAUUUCAGUCAUCCUCAAGACAGGUUUGUAAAAUGUGUAUAUGAAUAAAUGCAGUUCCCCCACUCAGGUGGUCUCCACUGCUUUGCCCCGUUUGAACAGAAAAUAGUAGCUGGUGAAAUACUCCUGUAGGAUUACGUCAGACAGCCAUGACUCCCAGAGUUUGUGUUAGGUUUUAGAAACAUCCAUACUCAAAAAUCCAAGAAGCCUUUCAGAACAUAGAAGUAGAUGAAGAAAGGAGGAGAAAGUGAUAGGGAUAAGAGAAAAUGGGAGGAAAUGGAAGGAAAGGAAAAAGCUUAAAGGAUAUCACUGUGGUGAAGAGCAAGGAGAAAUUAAAGAAAGACGGUUUGAGAGAAAAAUAAAAGAACUGAAGAAAUCUGACUGAGCCAGGGGCAUGUGGGACCAGAAGGCCAAAGAGAAACAGUGGCAGCUGGAGGAGCCUGCAGAGCUGGGCAAGUCCGUUUUGCAGAGUCUGGGCAGGAAAAUGCUGUAGGCUAAAGCAGAAAAUAAGGAGAUUUUUUUCCCCCGCUGAUGGUUCCCUGGGAUCCUGCCAAAGCUCUAUUCUGCAGAACCAGAAACUGAAUAAAUAGACUAAUUUAUUCAGAAGAUAUGUCCCCUUAAUUCUCUCCCCAGAAUGGUGUCAAACCUGCCCAGGAUACCAGAAAUUUCUGUGAAUUUGGAUGAUGAGGAUUAACCAGAGUGUUUCUCUUCACCCCACAACACCUGCUCCUGAAAAGGAAGCAUUUGUUCCUUGCAUGCAAAUCAUUUUGUAUUAAAGAGGCAUCUAAUGAGCAUCGGAUGAAAGUCCCCUGGAGCAGGUGUGAGAACCACUGCUUCGAGGUGUGGUGAUGGACAUUGGCGGCGUAAUUCCCACGGGCACUUUCUGAUGCAAAAGGGAAGGAAAAGAGGAGGAAGAGUUAGGAUUGACUCUGAGACCAUGAAAUGUGGUACCUUCAGGAGCUAUUUGAAGAAGUUAUACCUACUCAUACACUGGAAUGAAGAGCUCUUCAUAUGGCAUUUUGUCCCAAAUGAAGCCAAAAUUCAAAAGAAA